CACGUAGGGGACGAGCGUUGUCCGGAUUCAUUGGGCGUAAAGCGCGCGUAGGCGGCUCGGAAAGUCGGGCGUGAAAUCCCGAGGCUCAACCUCGGGCCUGCAGUGGGUACGGGCAGACUGGAGUGCGGUAGGGGAGAAUGGAAUUCCUGGUGUAGCGGUGGAAUGCGCAGAUAUCAGGAGGAACACCGAUGGCGAAGGCAGUUCUCUGGGCCGUAACUGACGCUGAGGAGCGAAAGCGUGGGGAGCGAACAGG
Molecule: ribosomal RNA, 253 nt
Filed under: uncultured bacterium
Lineage: Bacteria
Description: partial 16S ribosomal RNA
Rfam family: Bacterial small subunit ribosomal RNA
Source: RNAcentral